AUUUUUUCAUCUUGAAACAACUGGACUAGGUUUGUGUAAAAUCUUUUAAAUUUAUUGUGUAAGAUAAGAUUUAAAUUGAGAGACAUUUUCAAGAAGUUUGCCAUUUGUUUUGUUUUUUCAUAUCAGCUAGAACAUCAGAAAUUAUCCAGAUAACUUGUGUUUGUGGAGAAAAUACCUUCAAUAUUUACAUGAAGCCAACUUGCAGAAUCAGUAUUCCAGCAUCAGAUGCGACAGGACUUGCAUAUGUUGGAGGUGUCCUCAAGCAUAAAGGUUAAAGUGUAGAAUCAACAACAGUAUAUUGCGGACUUCACAAUUUCAUCAAAUUCUGUCAUGCUUUCCAAAUGCCAUUCUGAUAGGACACAAUUGCAACAGUCAAAAUUUUUAACAUUCCAUUUCUAUUGCACCGCUUAAACAGACAUAACAUUUUAAAGAACUUUUAGGAUGCAGUUGAAGGUUGCAUUGAUACAUUGAAGCUUGCAAGAAAUAUCAUCACAAAAGCAAAAGUUGGAAACUACAAGCAAAAUAAUAAUGUCCAGAAACUAAUAGGAGAGACCUAUGACGCCCAUGAUAUUAUGCCAUUGAGGAAAUACUAUCAGUUUAGAAAUUGUUCCCUUUGAAGUUAGAAUCAGUGUAAGAAUGAGGACAUAUAUGAAUUCUUUUAUUACAGAUGUAAGGAAUCUUUGGACCAGCUUGUUACAGAGAAAGUUUUUUCCACUACAACACAAAAGAAACUUGUGGGACUUUCUUUAACAUUGCCUAAACUGAAAGUUAUUCACUUGCGAGAUCCUAACAAUGGUAAUCAUAACGUGUUUAGUGAGAACUUGCAAGAUUCUAAGAAACCAAGAGUGUGAAGGUCAAAAUCUGUGAUUGGAAAUUUGUCAUAUCUUUAGACUGUUGUAUUUUGAAUUUUUUGUUUACAAAAUUAAGAAUGUGUGUUUAUAUAUGCAUAAUGUAUAUCAAUGUCUCAAAGGCUAUAAUGAGCCAUAUACAUGUACACAAACAUUUUCUUCUGUUAGGUGAAGCAAAGUACUACAAAAACCUAGAUUUAAUUUAAAAUGAUGACUUUAUUUUAAUUCUCACCUGUCCAUGGAUUUAAAAUGUUGAUAAUAAUAAUUUUGUUAAGAAAUGCAUAUUGCUUUAUGUAUCAUAUUAUUUUGUGUUCAUUUUACAAGGGGUAUCUGCUUGUUUUAAUUAAGUAUAAAAAAAUUAUGCUUUCGUCAGAGAAAUAUGCAUUUAAGGUUGAUCGAUCCUCAUGUGAUGUCAUAGGUUUUUACAAAAUCUUUAUUUUAUUAAAUUUUGCGCAUGAUUGAAAUAUAUCUUUCAGAGGAAUUGUAUUCACUGAAUAAAAUAAAAAAAAUUGGUAAACUUUUGAUACUGAAAAAGUUUUUAUUUUCCAUAGAUAAUCAAUUAUUUAUAAUUUUAAAGAUUUUGUCAAGGGCAAUAACUCCUAUGCUGGAAUUUCCUCAACUGCAUGUCUAUGACACAAUGAUUUCACUAAUAUCCACAAUUAAUUUUUAUAUAUCUAUGAAUUAUCAGAUUUCUUAAACUGUUGACAUUUGAAAUUUGUCAUUUCAACAAGUUUUUAUUACUUUUCAUCAUUCUGUUUAACGAAAAUGUGCGAUUUUUUUAUGCUUCUGUUUUUGUAUGUCUGACAUCUUUAAAAGGGUGGCAGCAUGCACAUUUUCUUUGGUUAUUGGUUAGAUUAAACUAUAUUGAGUGGAAAUUACAGUUUUUCCACUUUUAACCAUUAUUAUAGAUAAGUCACAUGAGGAUCGACCCACCUUAAGUGUCAUUUAACGUUAAAUAUUUGCAAUGAUUCCCGUCGUCCAUUUCAAGAGGGUGCCUUUACAUUAUCAGCCCUGGGAUAAAAAUAAAUGUGAUAUGAUUUUUUUUUUUCAUUUUUUCUAUUUACUGUUAAAGAGAAUUUCAGUUUUUUAAAAUUUAGUAUCAAUAUAAGUGUUUGUCGGAGCAAUGUCCAUAACAAUGACAUGAUGUCCAAUUUUCUCAAUAAGUCUUCCACACUUUUUCUGAGAAUGAGGCAUAUAUUAUGUAAUUUUUUUCUUUUAGUGCUUUCCAUUCAUGAAAACAAAUGCAUGUAUACGUUAAGGUAAAUAACUAGAACAAUUAUCUGUAAUAUAUUAACUAUUGUACUAUUUUUACACAUUUUCUAGCUGAAAAUGUCAUCGUUGGUAAUAAUACUAAAGGACUGGAAUGUUUGUCUGUAGAAUGAACACAGUUCUGACAGGAUUUAUCUGUUAAAAGUAAGGAGCUGCCAUAUUUGAUUUUGUAUUGUCCUUGAUAUCGGUAAGACAAGAGUUUUAGACAUUUUGUCAUAAUGUCUGGUCCUGUUCUGUCCGGCAGCAUUAUUUCACUGACUAUUUUCUUCUUCCCUUUCUAGUCACAGAUAGCUGGCAGGGAAAGCUUACUUCCCACAAAAGGCAGGCUAUCAUUAACUACCUUCUUCAAUUCAAGCUGAGGAACUCGAGGGGCACAGACAGCUGGUAGAGCAAACUCUUUUGGCUUUUUCAAUUGUUUUUCAACUUUUUAACUCUUUCUGGAUGUUUGUUGUCAUAUUAUUUUCUUGUACCCCCACAGGGGGCAAUCUGUCAUUUUCCAGCUUUCUGAAAUCAAGGUUAGGAAUUCUAGAAGCGGGUUUGGGUCUCUGGAGUUUAGACUCAGACCUAGAGGGUAUUCCUGUCAGAGCACUGAGCUCAGUCUCCAGCACUUUGACUUUACCUCUCUGGAUUCUCUCCUGAUUUACCAGCAUCUGAUGAAGCAGGAUAUCCUCUUGAGCUGUGUGCAGAGGUACACCACACCCAACACUUUUAUUUAGUGAGUUGAUCUUCUGUAAGUGGGUCACUUUCCUGGAAAUCGGCUCCUUGUGAUAGACCUUUGCUUCUGCCAGCUCCCUUUGUAGCUCUUCCACUUUUAGCUAUCUUUUCUUCUUGCUGUCCUCGAUGUUGAGUAAUAUUUUAUUGCACUCUCUGUCUUCCAUCAUCAGCUUUUUAAGAUUAGCAUCAUGUUUCUCUGAAUCAUUACUGUUUAAAGAAUAUAUGACCCAGUGUGUAUUACAUUGCAAAAAUAGUUUUCGGCCAAUUUGAUAUUUUAAAAUAUCAUUAAACAGGUACAGACUUGAGAUUUCAAAAGUACAGCAAUUAUGCAAAAAAUCGUCAUUGCCGGUAAUUUACUUGGUAGCUGCUAAUCACAAAAUAAUACAUGUACAUCUGUUAACUUACUCAUUCCUCCGAGUCAAGACAACUUUUUUAAAAACCUUUUUAGCACCAGUGGACUUCUCUGAAAUAAAUUAAAACAAUGAAGAGUCUGCAGUACUAGUAGCUAUGAUUUAAGGCACACUUAGUCACAGCAAUAUUAUUUUUAGUAGAAGUGGACUAUACAAAAUGAAAACAUGAAGACUUAUCUUGCUCAACUAAAUAGAAAUUAAGAGUGUCAAUUAAUGUGUUGUAUCUUACUAGAAAAAUUCUAACUGGAAAUUUUAACCUACUCAGAUGUAGUAACUUUGUUUAGUUGGUUAGUGUCAGAUAUCAUUGAUAUGAUUACUAAAGCAAAAUUUCAUCUCACGUGAGUCUGUCUGUUUUGUGGAGCUGGCUUCUGAAUGUCCACGAGAGAUCUCGUUUACAGAGACUGAGCUGGAAUAAGUGAUGGUCACAUCUGACUGCAUAUCCCCCAAGCCUGAAAUAACACCUCUGUAUAUUAUGAUUUACCAUUACUACAAACAAUGGACACAUGUUGUAAAUUUGAAUACCGUGUAACAUUACUUAUUUAGUAAAACCUGUCAGUGUGGUUAUUGAAUUUGAAUAUUAUAAUUAAUAUAAUACAAGUUGUCAAUGUGGUUGUCAAAUACUAGAAGUUAAAUGUUGUAACUACUACAGUCUUCCUGUUGUUUCAGUUUGGUGACAGGGAUUUUUGUUGUUCUGUUCCAUCACUCUGUGAAAAAGAAAGAACAGUCAGAAUCCUUUUUAUGCUGCAAUAUGCAUUGUUUAUAAAUAUACAUUAUUAAUAAAAUGUAGAAAAUUAA
Ostrea edulis (European flat oyster) is the source of this 4036-nucleotide long non-coding RNA. RefSeq lists it as uncharacterized. Lineage: Eukaryota; Metazoa; Mollusca; Bivalvia; Ostreida; Ostreidae. The record is from RefSeq and is a predicted model, not a curated record. The transcript has 2 exons.